AGCAGCCGCGGUAAUUCCAGCUCCAAUAGCGUAUAUUAAAGUUGUUGCAGUUAAAAAGCUCGUAGUUGAAUUUCGGGAUCAAUCUAUCGGUCGUGCAAUAGUACGUACUGAUUUUAUUGAUUCCUACCUUCUGAUGAACUAUGAUGUCAUUAAUUUGGUGUCAUAGGGAAUCAGGACUGUUACUUUGAAAAAUUAGAGUGUUUAAAGCAGGCUCACGCUUGAAUACAUUAGCAUGGAAUAACGAAAUAGGACGUUUGAUUCUAUUUUGUUGGUUUCUAGGAUCGACGUAAUGAUUAAUAGGGAUAGUUGGGGGCAUUAGUAUUCAAUUGUCAGAGGUGAAAUUCUUGGAUUUAUUGAAGACUAACUACUGCGAAAGCAUUUGCCAAGGAUGUUUUCAUUAAUCAAGAACGAAAGUUAGGGGAUCGAAGACGAUCAGAUACCGUCGUAGUCUUAACCAUAAACUAUGCCGACUAGGGAUCGGAUGAUGUUAAUUUUUAAUGUACUCU
RNAcentral lists this small RNA (506 nucleotides) under uncultured Glomus. RNAcentral describes it as "SSU rRNA". It matches the Rfam family "Eukaryotic small subunit ribosomal RNA", at positions 569 to 1078 of the family's 1831-position model. The record is from RNAcentral. Lineage: Eukaryota; Fungi; Glomeromycota; Glomeromycetes; Glomerales; Glomeraceae.